Molecule: transfer RNA, 71 nt
Filed under: Aegolius funereus (boreal owl)
Lineage: Eukaryota; Metazoa; Chordata; Aves; Strigiformes; Strigidae
Description: tRNA-Gln
Rfam family: tRNA
About the family: Transfer RNA (tRNA) molecules are approximately 80 nucleotides in length. Their secondary structure includes four short double-helical elements and three loops (D, anti-codon, and T loops).
Source: RNAcentral
UAGGAAAUAAUACAGUGGAAGUAUGAAGGUCUUUGAUUCCUUUUGCGUGGGUUCGAGCCCCACUUUUCUAA